Molecule: long non-coding RNA, 2358 nt
Filed under: Mus musculus (house mouse)
Lineage: Eukaryota; Metazoa; Chordata; Mammalia; Rodentia; Muridae
Description: long non-coding RNA chr11:58202414-58204772
Source: RNAcentral
AUUUAUUUAUUUAUUUAUUUAUUUAUUUAUUUAUUUAUUUAUUUGAGGCAGGGUUUCUCUGUGUAGCCCUGACUGUCCUGGAACUCAGAGAUUUGCCUGCUUCUGCUGGGAUGAAGGGCGUUCACCACCACAUCUGGCUGAUGUGAAGUUUUGAAAUGUUGGUGGUGAUGCACACAGAAAGGGCUAUUUUUUCUUUUUUUUCUUUUUGAGACAGGGUCUCACGAAGUCCAAGCUAGGCUCAAACUUACUGUGUAGGUGAGGAUGCCUUUAAUUUUCUUAUCCUCUUGCUUCCAACUCCUAAAUUCUGGGACUACAAGCUUAAGACACAUGCCCGGUUUUCUGUGGUACUAGGGACUGAACCCAGCGCUUCGUGUGUGUUAGUCAAACACUCUUAUCAACUGAGUAACACCUCUUGGGGUGUCUCCCUCUCCCCUCUCCCCUACCCCCUCUCCCCUCUUCCUCUCCCCGCCCCCUCUCUCUCAAGGAAAUAAGAGGUUGUUUAUUCUGGAGCGAUUUUGAGUUUCCAUGGCCUAGGAAUAGAGAUUUAAGUUACCCCACAUUUAUGUUCUAAUGUGGAAGCUUCAGAAGGUUUUUAUAGCUUUACACAACAACAAAUCCUAAAUCAAGGUAAAUUUAAAUAUAUCAGUAGACACAUCAGAGAAGCAGAAUGGGGGAAGCUUUUCUCUUUCUUUCUUUCUUUCUUUCUUUCUUUCUUUCUUUCUUUCUUUCUUUCUUUCUUUCUUUCUUUCUUUCUUUCUUUUUUUUUUAACGAGACAGGGUUUCUCUGUGUAGCCCUGGCUGUCCUGGAACUCAUUCUGUAGACCAGGUUGGUCUCGAACUCAGAGAUCCACCUGUCUCUGCCUCCCGAGUGCUGGGAGCCACCACGUCUGGCAGGGGAAGCUUUUCUAUUGGCCCAAGAUGCCAUCUGAUCUUUUUUUUUUUUUUUUUUAAGAUUUAUUUAUUAUAUGUAAGUACACUGUAGCUGUCUUCAGACACACCAGAAGAGGUCGUCAGAUCUCAUUACGGGUGGUUGUGAGCCACCAUGUAGUUGCUGGGAAUUGAACUCGGGACCUUCAGAAGAACAGUCAGUGCUCUUACCCAUUGAGCCAUCUCGCCAGCCCGCCAUCUGAUCAUUUUAAUAGAUAGAAUUUUCCUUUUCUUAAGGAAAUAAGAGAUAGUUUGUUCUGGAGCCAUUUUGAUCAUGGUUCUAGAAGACAGAUUUAGGUUUCCACAAAUUCUAUGUUCCAACAAUCCCUGUUAAUGGUGGCAUUGUGAAGAAGGCCUGUUGAAAUAAUUAAUUGAUAAUUCCUGGCGUUAUGUUCCAGAAUGAAAGACACACACAUAACCUUUGUGUUUUGUAUUGUGCCUUACUCAGCACAAUAGCUGGCCACUGCCUGACCUCCACUACUGAUGGAAUCUACCUUGUACAGAGAAUUCCAAGAAUUCUGUGUUCUGUUUUGUGCUCUGGACCCACUGGUCUGGGCUGCACUCUCCUGGUUCCUUCACAUGGCAUCCAUACCUCUCUCGCCUGUACUUUUCUCUGACAUGUCGUCUCUCCUUUCCUCGACACUCUCCCUUCUUCUUCCUCUCUCCUGAUCCCAAGCCUGGGAAAUUCCAAAAACCCACCUCUGUAUGUCUUCCCAGCUACUGGCUGAUGGAAUUUUUAUUUACCAGUCAGAACCAAUUGGGGGCAAGUUCCUAGAAACCUGUAAGCAGUUUUGGGGACCCAAAUUAACAUUAGAGUACAAGCAGCAUUAGGGCAAACCCACUACACAGGCCUGUUACCUAGGAAUAGCAAGGGAGUCAUGUAUCUUCAAUACAGCCCACUCGGUCACCUCACCCAAUUCUCAUUGCAACCGAGAGGCUCACAAUGCUUGAUCUCAUGGUGAGGAUUCAGCCAACCCGUUUGCAGAAUAAUCUGAAUUCUUAUAUUAGUGUCAUUAUGUAUAUUAUGUAGAUAUACAUGUGGGCAAAACACACAUACAUACAAAUCAAUCUAAAAACCAAACAAGCAAAACGCCAGAAUCAUUAGGUUAUUUGGGAAGUUUGAUUUGACGUGUCUGCUGGAGUUGAUGGGUCACAGGUAUUUCCCAUGUGGGUAGUUACUGGUAAAUAUCAUUCCAAAUUUCAUAAUUUGAUUAUAAACAAUAAGUUUAUCCAGGUUGGGGAGAUGAUUCAGUUAACAGAGUACACGAGGACCUGAGUUCACUCCCCAGAACCCACAUGAGAAAAGCUGGGUGUAGUGGCAUACAUUUUUAAUCCCAGUCAGUAUUCAGAGGCAGAGGCAAUCAGAUUACUGAAUUCCAGGACAGCCAAGGAGGCUACACAGAGAAAUCCUGUCUUGAAAAACAAACAGAA